This 312-nucleotide long non-coding RNA is filed under the name Androctonus crassicauda. Lineage: Eukaryota; Metazoa; Arthropoda; Arachnida; Scorpiones; Buthidae. The record is from RNAcentral.
AGAGCCUGUUUGGCACGAGCAUACACUUUGUUUUCCAAUAAUAUGACCCUAUUUGGGGAAACUACUCCAAAUCAGAAAAGAUGUGGAAACUAUGAUGUAGUUCAAACUCUGGGCAGCCUCUGAAUGAAGAGAUAUUUUCUUUAGACUUAUAGUAGCUGCCUUCGACAUCAUGAGGUAUAUAACUAGUAUUUAAUAUGUCCUAUCAAUGUCUUCUUCAGUGUUCUUCAGGGUAAUUGGGACCUCAAAGGAUUUGGUUCGGAUCCAAAUACAUACACAUUCUGUAUUUUAGGUCAGUGUUUUUUUAAAGAAAAU